This 289-nucleotide unclassified non-coding RNA is filed under the name Hevea brasiliensis (rubber tree). Lineage: Eukaryota; Viridiplantae; Streptophyta; Magnoliopsida; Malpighiales; Euphorbiaceae. The record is from RNAcentral.
UAUCAUCAAUCAACUGCACAAAUUUGUCAAGUCAAUGAGUUGUAUCAAUAAAUAUGUAUGAUAAAACCUUAAAGAAUAAAAAUGACAUUGGAACAAUAUAUAGCCAGUUUUCCCAAGUAAUUUCACAGGUCUAAAAUGCCUGCACUGUGCAACAACUGCCCAUAUCAACAAAGUAAUGCACAAAGAUGGUAUGCAAUGGAAAAACAACCUACAGUGUCUCCCAUUCAAAUUCAACGAAUGAUUUAAGACUUCAUUGUCCAUUUACCUUUGCAAAAGCUGUGUAGUGACC